AAAAUAUCUAGGAGUGGAAGAGA
This 23-nucleotide non-coding RNA is filed under the name Cricetulus griseus (Chinese hamster). The record is from RNAcentral. Lineage: Eukaryota; Metazoa; Chordata; Mammalia; Rodentia; Cricetidae.